CAGCACUACUUUUAUUCACACCGCAAUGUUUAUUUCGUGUUUACAUAGUACUGUAUAGUAAUCGUUUAUUUUUCUCAUAUAAACUUUUUCGCAUCAUUUAUUUAUUUACAGCCACCGCUGUAUUGACUUUGUAAGUAUCGACUUCCAAAUCUUCUGAAAUAUUUUAUUAAGUUUUAAAGUGGACAUAAGUUAACAUACUCAACUCGUUAACUUGGGCCUUUUUUCUAUCGAUUACAAUAUGUAAUAAUAAGAAAAAUCAUGACAAAAGAAACGCAACAAUCUAAUUUUAUUCCAUUAUGUUAUAUUCCAAAUAGGUUGUUUUAUUAUCUUACUUUUUUUUAAAAAGAAUAUUGUAUAAAGAUAUUACCUUGAUCAUUAUUUUACGAUAUCAUCGAUAAUUAUCAAAUUAUCGAGUUUUUACUAUACAGAUAUUGCAUUCCACCUACACAAUACACAAGUUUUCCAUGGAUCAUGGAGUCCAUUCAACAUUUGUGUGAUAGAGUUCUGCUUAAGCCGGUGCUAGGGGGCAUGAGAGAUGUUGCACAUUUCAUUGUCUUUCAUGAACAACUCAAUCAAACCGAGUCCGUUAUUAUUAUUCGUUGAAUUCUUUGCUUCCAAAGGAAUUUUUUACAGAUUUUAUUUCCAACACUCAUUUUUGCUGAUGCACACACACAAAUAUACUUAUAAUGUAAUUUAAGUUUAAUUUUGAAUAUAGUUAGUUUUUAUGUAUAAGGUAAAAAGGCACAUAAAAAUCAAUCUGUGUAUGGUGGAAUGGUGAAACAAGCAUGGCCGUUACAUUUCCAUAUUUGGUGAUAAAACGCGUCCUAUAUAACUGUUUAAAUGGGUUAUCACAUAAAUUAUCUAUAUUAUGUACAUAGAUUAAUAUCUUCAUAAAGGUAAAGUCUAUUUUAAGUUUCAUUUUUGGGUAAGUAAGCGGCUAACUACUGGUGCUUCUAGAAAUGGAAUUCAGCAUCAUUAAAGGACCUAAGCUGGUAGUGGCUUUAGAUAUUAGCAGUACCUACUCAGGGUAUGCAUGGCAAGAGAGAGCGGAAUUUGAAACUAAAAGAAGUGAGAUUCAUUUGAAUACCAUUUGGGGAGGAGGAUCUUUGCAGCUUCAUAAAACUACAACAUGUAUCCUCCUGGAAUGUCAAAAGGAGGAGGAAGCCAACGAUCAAGCAAAAGAAAAGUGAAAUAUCAUAAAAGAAAACACAAAAAUUGGACACGAAGCUGAAAGAGUUUACACAGGAAUAGUAAGACAGAAACAACAUACACACGAGCUUACUGGAAAGAACUAUUUCUUUAAACGGUUCAAGCUAUUGAUGUACAAUGAGGUACAUGUACCACAGAUAUUUAUAGUAUCAGUUAAUGUAACCCUAAGAAUAAAUUUGAUGAUGUACUGCAACAGUGGUACGUGUCCAAAUUUACAACUGUAUGUUCAGUAAUUAAAACUCAUAGAUUCUAGUAAUUGUAAAUAAAAAGUAACAAAAUAAUCCAGUGAGUAUUUAGGAGCUCUCUUUUGCGUAUAUCAAGCGGACAAAUGCUGAUGUAAAAUAUAAGGAGUUAUACUAGUCUUUCUUUGAUACUAAGUCAUAUUUGCUUUUUAUUUUACAACAAUGAUUUUGUAAUAUCGACUGAAGUCACAGCCUAAUCCAAUGACACGUUUUCUUUUAUUGCACAUGUUUUUUUUUCUGACAACACUUCCGAAGAUACUGUUUAUGCUUAUCGUUAUACGUGUUCGGGAAUAGAUGUGCAAAUGCGUAGAAUUAUGCUUGCGCGUGUAUGUUAACACUUAUGUGAAUUUAAAGAUGAAGGUGAGUAAAAUAGUGUUUUGACAUAAACAGAUUUAUAUUACAGCGAUUCCACCGAGAACAGCUCGUAGAAGAUCAGAUAGGACAACAAGUGCCCCUAUUUGACGUUAUGUCGUUGUUUAUCAGAGCUUUGAAAGAUCACUGUUUACAGAAACUGAAGAGAAAAGAUUUAACGGUGGAGCUUAAGAAGACCCUUUUUGUAGUCACCGUUCCAGCAAUAUGGUCAGAAAAAGCAAAGAAGAUUAUGAGAGAUGCAGCGGUAGAUGUAAUUAAGAGUUUCUUAUCUGUCAGUUAUAUUUUAGUGUAGAUUAUGUUAUAGUCAAGUAAAAAUGAUCAUUUUGUUCUUCAAUGAAAUGGUCAGUUUCAUAAUUUUGUAUAAUUUUAGGCUGGGAUAGGUAAAAGCAAUGUGUUAUUGGCACUAGAAUCUGAAGCUGCAGCCAUAUAUUGUUUACAUAUCCCCGAAGAACAGAGAAAAGAAAUGAAUGACCUCGGGAUGAAAGGAAAUAAAUUUCUAGUAGUAGACUUAGGCGGUAUGUUCUAGAUUUAUUCCUUAUUAAUAAGAAGAAAAGCAUUAAAAUGCUGAGAUCUUUACAAAGUUGUAAUUGGAA
Long non-coding RNA from Mercenaria mercenaria, 2416 nucleotides. RefSeq lists it as uncharacterized. NCBI's taxonomy places the organism in Eukaryota, Metazoa, Mollusca, Bivalvia, Venerida, Veneridae. The transcript has 3 exons. The record is from RefSeq and is a predicted model, not a curated record.